RNAcentral lists this ribosomal RNA (554 nucleotides) under Urastoma cyprinae. RNAcentral describes it as "SSU rRNA". It matches the Rfam family "Eukaryotic small subunit ribosomal RNA", at positions 21 to 582 of the family's 1831-position model. Lineage: Eukaryota; Metazoa; Platyhelminthes; Fecampiida; Urastomidae. The record is from RNAcentral.
UAGUCAUAUGCUCGUCUCAAAGAUUAAGCCAUGCAUGUCUCAGUACACGCUUUAUCAUGGUGAAACCGCGAAUUGCUCAUUAAAUCAGCUAUCAUUUAUUUGAUCAAACUGAAACACGGUAACUGUAGUAAUUCUAGAGCUAAUACGUUCCAACAUGCCUUGACUCACGAAAAGGUGGAUUUAUUAGAUCAAAACCAAUCGUGGUAACACGUUUGUAUUGAUGACUCUGGAUAACUUUACUACUCGAACGACACUAGUUGUCAUCAUUCAAGUGUCGCCCUAUCAACUUUCGAUGGUAGAGUAUUGGUCUACCAUGGUUAUAACGGGUAACGGGGAAUCAGGGUUUGAUUCCGGAGAGGCAGCCUGAGAAACGGCUACCACAUCCAAGGAAGGCAGCAGGCGCGUAAAUUACCCACUCCUAGAUCAGGGAGGUAGUGACGAAAAAUAACAAUGACGGGACUCUUUAGAGGCUCCGUAAUUGGAAUGAGUACAGUUUAAAUCCUUUAACUAGGAUCAAUUGGAGGGCAAGUCUGGUGCCAGCCGCCGCCGCGUAA